This 775-nucleotide ribosomal RNA is filed under the name uncultured eukaryote. RNAcentral's name for it is "SSU rRNA". It matches the Rfam family "Eukaryotic small subunit ribosomal RNA", at positions 618 to 1419 of the family's 1831-position model. The record is from RNAcentral.
GUUAAAAAGCUCGUAGUUGGAUUUCUGUUGAGGACGGCCGGUCCGCACUAUGUGCGUGUAUCUGGUUCGGCCUUGGCAUCCUCUUGAGGAACGUUCCUGCGCUUGAUUGCGUGGGGCGGUAUUCAAGACUUUUACUUUGAGGAAAUUAGAGUGUUCACGGCAGGCAAGCGCCUUGAAUACAUUAGCAUGGAAUAAUAAUAUUGGAUCUUGGUUCUAUUUGUUGGUUUCUAGGGCUAAGGUAAUGAUUAAUAGGGAUAAUUGGGGGCAUUUGUAUUAACGCGUCAGAGGUGGAAUUCUUGGAUUGCGUUACGACAAACUACUGCGAAAGCAUUUGCCAAGGAUGUUUUCAUUGAUCAAGAACGAAAGUAUGGGGAUCGAAGAUGAUUAGAUACCGUCGUAGUCUAUACCAUAAACUAUGCCGACUAGGGAUUGGAGGUCGUUCUUUUUAUGACUCCUUCAGCACCUUAUGAGAAAUCAAAGUCUUUGGGUUCCGGGGGGAGUAUAGUCGCAAGGCUGAAACUUAAAGGAAUUGACGGAAGGGCACCACCAGGAGUGGAGCCUGCGGCUUAAUUUGACUCAACACGGGGAAACUCACCAGGUCCAGACAUAGUAAGGAUUGACAGAUUGAUAUCUCUUUCUUGAUUCUAUGGGUGGUGGUGCAUGGCCGUUCUUAGUUGGUGGAGUGAUUUGUCUGGUUUAUUUCGAUAACGAACGAGAUCUUAACCUGCUAAAUAGUAACGCGUAUCUCCGGAUAUUCGAUUACUUCUUAGAGGGA